This 375-nucleotide ribosomal RNA is filed under the name uncultured organism. RNAcentral's name for it is "partial 16S ribosomal RNA". It matches the Rfam family "Bacterial small subunit ribosomal RNA", at positions 527 to 896 of the family's 1533-position model. The record is from RNAcentral.
GUAGGUGGCAAGCGUUGUCCGGAAUUAUUGGGCGUAAAGCGCGCGCAGGUGGUUCUUUAAGUCUGAUGUGAAAGCCCCCGGCUCAACCGGGGAGGGUCAUUGGAAACUGGGGAACUUGAGUGCAGGAGAGGAAAGUGGAAUUCCACGUGUAGCGGUGAAAUGCGUAGAUAUGUGGAGGAACACCAGUGGCGAAGGCGACUUUCUGGCCUGUAACUGACACUGAGGCGCGAAAGCGUGGGGAGCAAACAGGGAUUAGAUACCCUGGUAGUCCACGCCUUAAACGAUGAGUGCUAAGUGUUGGGGGGGUUUCCCGCCCCUCAGUGCUGCAGCUAACGCAUUAAGCACCCCCGCCUGGGGAGUACGGUCGCAAGACUG